CCCGCUACAAGUAAACGUUAAAGGAAGUUGGACCGGGGACCCGCACAAGCAGGCGGAGCAUGUUGGUUUAAUUCGAAGCAACGCGAAGAACCUUACCAGAUCUGACAUCCAAUUGACCAUUCUUUUAAUCGAGAUUUUUGCCUUCGGGUACAAUUGAGACAGGUGGUGCAUGGUUGUCGUCAGCUCGUGUCGUGAGAUGUUGGGUUAAGUCCCGCAACGAGCGCAACCCUUGUGUUUUAGUUGCAAACAGGUCAAGCUGUGCACUCUAGACAGACUGCCGUGGACAACACGGAGGAAGGUGGGGAUGACGUCAAAUCAUCAUGCCCCUUAUGAUCUGGGCUACACACGUGCUACAAUGGCCGGUACAACGGGCAGCGAAGGAGCGAUCCGGAGCGAAUCCUAAAAAGCCGGUCCCAGUUCGGAUUGCAGGCUGAAACUCGCCUACAUGAAGUUGGAGUUGCUAGUAAUCGCGAAUCAGAAUGUCGCGGUGAAUGCGUUCCCGGGUCUU
RNAcentral lists this ribosomal RNA (508 nucleotides) under uncultured Fusibacter sp. Its description in RNAcentral is "bacterial SSU rRNA". It matches the Rfam family "Bacterial small subunit ribosomal RNA", at positions 914 to 1382 of the family's 1533-position model. The record is from RNAcentral. Lineage: Bacteria; Bacillati; Bacillota; Clostridia; Eubacteriales; Fusibacteraceae.